GCGACUGUGGUGGAACGGUAGACACGCGGGCUUGAGGGGCUCGUGCUUCACGGCGUGAGGGUUCAAAUCCCUCCAGUCGCACCA
RNAcentral lists this transfer RNA (84 nucleotides) under Candidatus Marinarcus aquaticus. RNAcentral describes it as "Arcobacter sp. CECT 8987 tRNA-Leu". It matches the Rfam family "tRNA". Rfam says of the family: Transfer RNA (tRNA) molecules are approximately 80 nucleotides in length. Their secondary structure includes four short double-helical elements and three loops (D, anti-codon, and T loops). Further hydrogen bonds mediate the characteristic L-shaped molecular structure. tRNAs have two regions of fundamental functional importance: the anti-codon, which is responsible for specific mRNA codon recognition, and the 3' end, to which the tRNAs corresponding amino acid is attached (by aminoacyl-tRNA synthetases). tRNAs cope with the degeneracy of the genetic code in two manners: having more than one tRNA (with a specific anti-codon) for a particular amino acid; and 'wobble' base-pairing, i.e. permitting non-standard base-pairing at the 3rd anti-codon position. The record is from RNAcentral. Lineage: Bacteria; Pseudomonadati; Campylobacterota; Epsilonproteobacteria; Campylobacterales; Arcobacteraceae.